This 253-nucleotide ribosomal RNA is filed under the name uncultured bacterium. Its description in RNAcentral is "partial 16S ribosomal RNA". It matches the Rfam family "Bacterial small subunit ribosomal RNA", at positions 524 to 776 of the family's 1533-position model. The record is from RNAcentral.
UACGUAGGGGGCGAGCGUUGUCCGGAUUUACUGGGCGUAAAGAGCGUGUAGGCGGCCAGGUAGGUCUGCUGUGAAAACUCGAGGCUCAACCUCGAGACGUCGGCGGAAACCAUCUGGCUAGAGUCCGGAAGAGGAGAGUGGAAUUCCUGGUGUAGCGGUGAAAUGCGCAGAUAUCAGGAAGAACACCCGUGGCGAAGGCGGCUCUCUGGGACGGUACUGACGCUGAGACGCGAAAGCGUGGGGAGCGAAUGGG